CAGUCUGCUGCUAGUAGCCAGGAAAACACCACCCAGUUGGAGCUGCUGCUUGUGACAUCUUGGAGGGAGCCUGGAGCACAUGAAUAUUAAUUUUCUAAACAUUGUAGAUGCCCUGAGGACUGGAUAGAAUCACCUGGCAGGCUGGAUUUGGCCUGCGGGCUGUAUUUUGCCUGCUCCUGAUUAUAAGCCCUUGGCAUCAGGUCCUCAUCUAUGCAUCAGAAUGCUGGAGAAUAUCACCAAGUAUGGAAAAGAGAACUGAAGCAAGUGAGAUGUGGUUCUUAAGGCACAUCUUGAAGGUAUCUUGGACAAGUCACACUUCAAAUAAAGAUAUUUUGUUAAGAGCAGGCUGCAGGAGGAAACUGCUGAUCAACGUCAGAAGAAGACAGUUCAAGUUUCUCAGACAUGUUCUGAGGGAAUUGAAAGUAUUUUCAUAACUGGAAAGACUGAAGGAAGGAGAGAUUGUGGAAGACAGAGGUUGACAUAUGUUAAGGGUCUGUCUAAAUGGAUGAAUGUAUCAACACUGGAAAUUCUGUAUGCCUCAAAGAGAAGAGAUCUGUGGAAGACCAUGGUCACCAAUGUCCUAUUUGGAUAUGGUACCUAGAGAGAGAGAGAGAGACUUUAUGGAUAAAGAAGUUAGUAAAGGUACACUGCAAUAAAAAGUUUCGUAACAUUUAUUAAAUGUUUAUCACAGUGUAUUACCAACUGAAUUGAGCAAGUAUUCUCUGCAUAUAUACAGUACAUUCAGAAACAGCAUUUUCAGUCUAUUC
Molecule: long non-coding RNA, 767 nt
Organism: Alligator mississippiensis (American alligator)
Lineage: Eukaryota; Metazoa; Chordata; Crocodylia; Alligatoridae
Exons: 3
Source: RefSeq, a predicted model, not a curated record